This 1317-nucleotide ribosomal RNA is filed under the name Listeria monocytogenes. RNAcentral describes it as "partial 23S ribosomal RNA". It matches the Rfam family "Bacterial large subunit ribosomal RNA", at positions 415 to 1731 of the family's 2925-position model. The record is from RNAcentral. Lineage: Bacteria; Bacillati; Bacillota; Bacilli; Caryophanales; Listeriaceae.
CGGCGGAACACGUGAAAUUCCGUCGGAAUCCGGGAGGACCAUCUCCCAAGGCUAAAUACUCCCUAGUGACCGAUAGUGAACCAGUACCGUGAGGGAAAGGUGAAAAGCACCCCGGAAGGGGAGUGAAACAGUUCCUGAAACCGUGUGCCUACAAGUAGUUAGAGCCCGUUAAUGGGUGAUAGCGUGCCUUUUGUAGAAUGAACCGGCGAGUUACGAUUUGUUGCAAGGUUAAGCGGAAAAAGCGGAGCCGUAGCGAAAGCGAGUCUGAAUAGGGCGCAUAAGUAACAGGUCGUAGACCCGAAACCAGGUGAUCUACCCAUGUCCAGGAUGAAGGUAAGGUAAUACUUACUGGAGGUCCGAACCCACGCACGUUGAAAAGUGCGGGGAUGAGGUGUGGGUAGCGGAGAAAUUCCAAUCGAACUUGGAGAUAGCUGGUUCUCUCCGAAAUAGCUUUAGGGCUAGCCUCGAGGUAAAGAGUCAUGGAGGUAGAGCACUGUUUGGACUAGGGGCCCUUCUCGGGUUACCGAAUUCAGAUAAACUCCGAAUGCCAUGUACUUAUACUCGGGAGUCAGACUGCGAGUGAUAAGAUCCGUAGUCGAAAGGGAAACAGCCCAGACCACCAGUUAAGGUCCCCAAAUAUAUGUUAAGUGGAAAAGGAUGUGGGGUUGCUUAGACAACCAGGAUGUUGGCUUAGAAGCAGCCACCAUUGAAAGAGUGCGUAAUAGCUCACUGGUCGAGUGACCCCGCGCCGAAAAUGUACCGGGGCUAAACAUAUUACCGAAACUGUGGAUGAACCUCUUUAGAGGUUCGUGGUAGGAGAGCGUUCUAAGGGCGGUGAAGUCAGACCGGAAGGACUGGUGGAGCGCUUAGAAGUGAGAAUGCCGGUAUGAGUAGCGAAAGAAGGGUGAGAAUCCCUUCCACCGAAUAUCUAAGGUUUCCUGAGGAAGGCUCGUCCGCUCAGGGUUAGUCGGGACCUAAGCCGAGGCCGAUAGGCGUAGGCGAUGGACAACAGGUAGAGAUUCCUGUACCAGUGCUAAUUGUUUAACCGAUGGGGUGACACAGAAGGAUAGGGAAUCGCACGAAUGGAAAUGUGCGUCCAAGCAGUGAGUGUGAGAAGUAGGCAAAUCCGCUUCUCGCGAAGCAUGAGCUGUGAUGGGGAAGGAAAUUAAGUACGGAAGUUCCUGAUUUCACGCUGUCAAGAAAAGCCUCUAGGAAGAGUAGUACUGCCCGUACCGCAAACCGACACAGGUAGAUGAGGAGAGAAUCCUAAGGUGAGCGAGAGAACUCUCGUUAAGGAACUCGGCAAAAUGACCCCGU